GAGUUUGAUCCUGGCUCAGGAUGAACGCUGGCGGCGUGCUUAACACAUGCAAGUCGAACGAAGCGGUCUGGUUGAAGCCUUCGGGCGGAAACCAGACUGACUGAGUGGCGGACGGGUGAGUAACGCGUGGGCAACCUGCCUCACACAGGGGGAUAACAGCUAGAAAUGGCUGCUAAUACCGCAUAAGCGCAUAGCAUGGCAUCAUGCAGUGUGAAAAACUCCGGUGGUGUGAGAUGGGCCCGCGUCUGAUUAGGUAGUUGGUGAGGUAACGGCCCACCAAGCCGACGAUCAGUAGCCGACCUGAGAGGGUGACCGGCCACAUUGGGACUGAGACACGGCCCAAACUCCUACGGGAGGCAGCAGUGGGGAAUAUUGCACAAUGGGGGAAACCCUGAUGCAGCGACGCCGCGUGAAGGAAGAAGUAUCUCGGUAUGUAAACUUCUAUCAGCAGGGAAGAAGAAUGACGGUACCUGACUAAGAAGCCCCGGCUAACUACGUGCCAGCAGCCGCGGUAAUACGUAGGGGGCAAGCGUUAUCCGGAUUUACUGGGUGUAAAGGGAGCGUAGGCGGCGAUGCAAGUCAGAAGUGAAAGCCCAGGGCUUAACCGUGGGACUGCUUUUGAAACUGUGUUGCUGGAUUGCCGGAGAGGUAAGUGGAAUUCCUAGUGUAGCGGUGAAAUGCGUAGAUAUUAGGAGGAACACCAGUGGCGAAGGCGGCUUACUGGACGGUGAAUGACGCUGAGGCUCGAAAGCGUGGGGAGCAAACAGGAUUAGAUACCCUGGUAGUCCAUGCCGUAAACGAUGAAUACUAGGUGUCGGGGCCCMMMAGGGUCCCGGUGCCGCAGCAAACGCAAUAAGUAUUCCACCUGGGGAGUACGUUCGCAAGAAUGAAACUCAAAGGAAUUGACGGGGACCCGCACAAGCAGCGGAGCAUGUGGUUUAAUUCGAAGCAACGCGAAGAACCUUACCAGGUCUUGACAUCCCUCUGAAACUCCUGAUAACGAUGGAGCCUCCUUCGGGACAGAGGAGACAGGUGGUGCAUGGUUGUCGUCAGCUCGUGUCGUGAGAUGUUGGGUUAAGUCCCGCAACGAGCGCAACCCUUGCCGAUAGUUGCCAUCAUUAAGUUGGGCACUCUAUCGGGACUGCCGGGGACAACUCGGAGGAAGGUGGGGAUGACGUCAAAUCAUCAUGCCCCUUAUGAUCUGGGCUACACACGUGCUACAAUGGUCGGUACAAAAGGCAGCAAUCCCGUGAGGGGGAGCAAAUCCCAAAAACCGAUCCCAGUUCGGACUGUAGGCUGCAACUCGCCUACACGAAGUCGGAGUUGCUAGUAAUCGUGGAUCAGAAUGCCACGGUGAAUGCGUUCCCGGGUCUUGUACACACCGCCCGUCACACCACGGAAGUUGGGGGUGCCCGAAGUUGGCAGGCAAAUAUGUUACCUAAGGCAAAACCGAUGACUGGGGUGAAGUCGUAACAAGGUAGCCGUUCGAGAACGAGCGGCUGGAUCACCUCCCUU
RNAcentral lists this ribosomal RNA (1515 nucleotides) under uncultured bacterium. RNAcentral describes it as "bacterial SSU rRNA". It matches the Rfam family "Bacterial small subunit ribosomal RNA". The record is from RNAcentral.